CCUACGGGAGGCAGCAGUGGGGGAUAUUGCACAAUGGGGGGAACCCUGAUGCAGCGACGCCGCGUGGGUGAAGGAGUGCUUCGGCAUGUAAAGCCCUAUCGGCAGGGAAGAAGCAAGACGGUACCUGACUAAGAAGCCCCGCCUAACUACGGGCCAGCAGCCGCGGUAAUACGUAGGGGGCGAGCGUUAUCCGGAUUCACUGGGUGUAAAGGGAGUGUAGACGGCCAUGCAGGCCAGGGGUGAAAGCCCGGGGCCCAACCCGGGGACUGCCCUUGGAACUGCAUGGCUGGAGUGCGGGAGGGGCAGGAGGAAUUCGUGGUGUAGCGGUGAAAUGCGUAGAUAUCAGGAGGAACACCGGCGGCGAAGGCGGCCUGC
This 375-nucleotide ribosomal RNA is filed under the name uncultured bacterium. RNAcentral describes it as "partial 16S ribosomal RNA". It matches the Rfam family "Bacterial small subunit ribosomal RNA", at positions 338 to 729 of the family's 1533-position model. The record is from RNAcentral.